CGGUAAUACGUAGGGUGCAGGUGUUAAUCGGAAUUACUGGGCGUAAAGCGUGCGCAGGCGGUUUGCUAAGACAGGUGUGAAAUCCCCGGGCUUAACCUGGGAAUUGCGCUUGUAACUGGCAAGCUAGAGUGUGGCAGAGGGGGAUGGAAUUUCACGUGUAGCAGUGAAAUGCGUAGAUAUGUGGAGGAACAUUGAUGGCGAAGGCAGUCCCCUGGGUUAACACUGACGCUCAGGCACGAAAGCGUGGGGAGCAAACAGGAUUAGAUACCCUGGUAGUCCACGCCCUAAACUAUGUCAACUAGUUGUCAGGGAAGAGAUUCCUUGGUAACGAAGCUAACGCGUGAAGUUGACCGCCUGGGGAGUACGGCCGCAAGGUUAAA
This 380-nucleotide ribosomal RNA is filed under the name uncultured bacterium. Its description in RNAcentral is "bacterial SSU rRNA". It matches the Rfam family "Bacterial small subunit ribosomal RNA", at positions 518 to 898 of the family's 1533-position model. The record is from RNAcentral.